CGGCAGGCAGUGGGCAUUGGCGAGCCCAAGUGGCUGUAAACCACCCGCCUUGGCUGUGCUGGUUCGAGUCCAGCCCUGCCGACUA
This 85-nucleotide transfer RNA is filed under the name uncultured Chloroflexota bacterium. Its description in RNAcentral is "uncultured Chloroflexi bacterium tRNA-Pseudo-GTA". The stretch from base 6 to 81 matches the Rfam family "tRNA". From Rfam's summary of the family: Transfer RNA (tRNA) molecules are approximately 80 nucleotides in length. Lineage: Bacteria; Bacillati; Chloroflexota. The record is from RNAcentral.